UGAGUGAAGGUGGGGCUGGCGAUUGGGACGAAGUCGUAACAAGGUAGCCGUACCGGAAGGUGCGGCUGGAUCACCUCCUUU
Ribosomal RNA from Nocardiopsis sp. NRRL B-16309, 81 nucleotides. It matches the Rfam family "Bacterial small subunit ribosomal RNA", at positions 1453 to 1533 of the family's 1533-position model. The record is from Rfam. NCBI's taxonomy places the organism in Bacteria, Bacillati, Actinomycetota, Actinomycetes, Streptosporangiales, Nocardiopsidaceae.